RNAcentral lists this ribosomal RNA (253 nucleotides) under uncultured bacterium. RNAcentral's name for it is "partial 16S ribosomal RNA". It matches the Rfam family "Bacterial small subunit ribosomal RNA", at positions 524 to 776 of the family's 1533-position model. The record is from RNAcentral.
UACGGGGGGGGCAAGCGUUGUUCGGAAUUACUGGGCGUAAAGGGUUUGUAGGUGGCUUGCUAAGUCAGACGUGAAAUCCCUCAGCUUAACUGGGGAACUGCGUCUGAGACUGGCAAGCUUGAGUGCAGGAGAGGAACGCGGAAUUCCAGGUGUAGCGAUGAAAUUCGUAGAUAUUGGGAAGAACACCGGUGGCGAAGGCGGCGCUCUGGACCGAGACUGACGCUGAGGCGCGAAAGCGUGGGGAGCAAACAGG